This is an RNA transcript of Pan troglodytes (chimpanzee), 1768 nucleotides long. It is a transcript of the gene named serum amyloid A like 1, with no coding region annotated. NCBI's taxonomy places the organism in Eukaryota, Metazoa, Chordata, Mammalia, Primates, Hominidae. The record is from RefSeq and is a predicted model, not a curated record. The transcript is spliced from 15 exons.
CUCUGGCACUAGGGCGCCGGUCGUUUCCUCCGCAGCUUCCGGCACGGCCUUCAAGCGCGGGACGCGACAAAGUCAUGGACCGCAACCCCUCGCCGCCGCCGCCGGGUCGCGACAAGGAGGAGGAGGAGGAGGUGGCCGGUGGAGACUGCAUAGGGAGCACGGUCUACAGCAAACACUGGCUCUUCGGCGUCCUCAGCGGACUCAUCCAGAUUGUUAGCCCUGAAAACACCAAAUCUAGCUCAGAUGAUGAGGAGCAGCUGACGGAUCUUGAUGAAGAAAUGGAGAAUGAAAUUUGCAGAGUAUGGGAUAUGUCAAUGGAUGAGGACGUGGCUUUAUUUCUCCAAGAAUUUAAUGCUCCUGAUAUAUUCAUGGGAGUACUGGCCAAGUCCAAGUGUCCUCGAUUAAGAGAAAUCUGUGUGGGAAUUUUAGGUAAUAUGGCCUGUUUCCAGGAGAUAUGUGUGUCCAUCAGCAGUGAUAAAAAUCUUGGGCAGGUGUUAUUGCACUGUUUGUAUGAUUCAGACCCACCUACUCUGCUGGAAACAAGCAGGUUGUUGCUUACUUGCCUUUCCCAGGCAGAAGUGGCCAGUGUUUGGGUUGAAAGGAUCCGGGAACAUCCAGCUAUUUAUGAUAGCAUUUGCUUCAUUAUGUCAAGUUCAACAAAUGUUGACUUGCUGGUGAAGGUGGGGGAGGUUGUGGACAAGCUCUUUGAUUUGGAUGAGAAACUAAUGUUAGAAUGGGUCAGAAAUGGGGCUGCUCAGCCUCUGGACCAACCCCAGGAAGAGUCUGAAGAGCAGCCAGUGUUUCGGCUUGUGCCCUGUAUACUUGAAGCUGCCAAACAAGUACGUUCUGAAAAUCCAGAAUGGCUUGAUGUUUACAUGCAUAUUUUACAACUGCUUACUACAGUGGAUGAUGGAAUUCAAGCAAUUGUACAUUGUCCUGACACUGGAAAAGACAUUUGGAAUUUACUUUUUGACCUGGUCUGCCAUGAAUUCUGCCAGUCUGAUGAUCCACCCAUCAUUCUUCAAGAACAGAAAACAGUGCUAGCCUCUGUUUUUUCAGUGUUGUCUGCCAUCUAUGCCUCACAGACUGAGCAAGAGUAUCUAAAGAUAGAAAAAGUAGAUCUUCCUCUAAUUGACAGCCUCAUUCGGGUCUUACAAAAUAUGGAACAGUGUCAGAAAAAACCAGAGAACUCGGCAGAGUCUAACACAGAAGAAACUAAAAAGACUGAUUUAACCCAAGAUGAUUUCCACUUGAAAAUCUUAAAGGAUAUUUUAUGUGAAUUUCUUUCUAAUAUUUUUCAGGCAUUAACAAAGGAGACGGUGGCUCAGGGAGUAAAGGAAGGCCAGUUGAGCAAACAGAAGUGUUCCUCUGCAUUUCAAAACCUUCUUCCUUUCUAUAGCCCUGUGGUGGAAGAUUUUAUUAAAAUCCUGCGUGAAGUUGAUAAGGCGCUUGCUGAUGACUUGGAAAAAAACUUCCCAAGUUUGAAGGAACCUUAUGCAAAAAGUCCAGAUGUAAUGAGGUGGCUCCUUUCACCCUUCACGUGGUCUGCCAGCCAUGGAUUAAGAUGGCAGAGCCACAAGAUGGAAAUUACCUGAAUCUCUGAGUAACCACACAGAGAACCACAUGGAGAGGAGCUGCCCUGGAGAGUCCCCCAAUGCAGGGUCUUGCUCUGUCACCCAGGCUGAAGAGCAAUGGCACGAUCAUGGCUCACUGCAGCCUCAGCCUCCUGGACCCAAGAAAUCCUCCUGCCUCAGCCUCCCAAGGAGCU